UACAGAGGUCCCAAGCGUUGUUCGGAUUCACUGGGCGUAAAGGGUGCGUAGGUGGCGAGGUAAGUCGGAUGUGAAAGCUCGGAGCUCAACUCCGAAAUGGCAUUGGAAACUACCUUGCUCGAGGGAUGGAGGGGGGACUGGAAUUCUCGGUGUAGCAGUGAAAUGCGUAGAGAUGUGGCGGAACACCGAUGGCGAAGGCAGCCUCCUGGGCCAAUCCUGACGCUCAGGCACGAAAGCGUGGGGAGCAAACAGG
Molecule: ribosomal RNA, 253 nt
Filed under: uncultured bacterium
Lineage: Bacteria
Description: partial 16S ribosomal RNA
Rfam family: Bacterial small subunit ribosomal RNA
Source: RNAcentral